GGAAUAUUGGACAAUGGGCGAAAGCCUGAUCCAGCAAUGCCGCGUGAGUGAUGAAGGCCUUAGGGUUGUAAAGCUCUUUUACCAGGGAUGAUAAUGACAGUACCUGGAGAAUAAGCUCCGGCUAACUCCGUGCCAGCCGCCGCGGUAAUACGGAGGGAGCUAGCGUUGUUCGGAAUUACUGGGCGUAAAGGGCUCGUAGGCGGCCAACUAAGGCGGACGUGAAAUCCCCAGGCUCAACUUGGGAACUGCGUCCGAUACUGGAUGGCUUGAAUUCGGGAGAGGGAUGCAGAAUUCCAGGUGUAGCGGUGAAAUGCGUAGAUAUCUGGAGGAAUACCGGUGGCGAAGGCGGCAUCCUGGACCGACAUUGACGCUGAUGAGCGAAAGCCAGGGGAGCAAA
This 397-nucleotide ribosomal RNA is filed under the name uncultured bacterium. Its description in RNAcentral is "bacterial SSU rRNA". It matches the Rfam family "Bacterial small subunit ribosomal RNA", at positions 358 to 772 of the family's 1533-position model. The record is from RNAcentral.